This 464-nucleotide ribosomal RNA is filed under the name uncultured bacterium. RNAcentral's name for it is "bacterial SSU rRNA". It matches the Rfam family "Bacterial small subunit ribosomal RNA", at positions 329 to 794 of the family's 1533-position model. The record is from RNAcentral.
GUCCAGACUCCUACGGGAGGCAGCAGUGGGGAAUAUUGCACAAUGGGGGGAACCCUGAUGCAGCGACGCCGCGUGGGUGAAGGAGCACCUCGGUGCGUAAAGCCCUCUCGGCAGGGAAGAAAAGCGAACAGGUUCGCCUGGACGGUACCUGACUAAGAAGCCCCGGCUAACUACGUGCCAGCAGCCGCGGUAAUACGUAGGGGGCAAGCGUUAUCCGGAUUCACUGGGUGUAAAGGGAGCGUAGACGGCGACGCAAGUCUGGAGUGAAGGCCCGGGGCCCAACCCCGGGACUGCCCUUGGAACUGCAUGGCUGGAGUGCGGGAGGGGCAGGCGGAAUUCCUGGUGUAGCGGUGAAAUGCGUAGAUAUCAGGAGGAACACCGGCGGCGAAGGCGGCCUGCUGGACCGCGACUGACGUUGAGGCUCGAAAGCGUGGGGAGCGAACAGGAUUAGAUACCCGCGUAUC